CAUGCCGUAAACGAUGAGUGCUAGGUGUUGGAGGGUUUCCGCCCUUCAGUGCCGCAGCUAACGCAAUAAGCACUCCGCCUGGGGAGUACGACCGCAAGGUUGAAACUCAAAGGAAUUGACGGGGGCCCGCACAAGCGGUGGAGCAUGUGGUUUAAUUCGAAGCUACGCGAAGAACCUUACCAGGUCUUGACAUCUUGCGCUAACCUCAGAGAUGAGACGUUCCCUUCGGGGACGCAAUGACAGGUGG
Molecule: ribosomal RNA, 247 nt
Filed under: uncultured Lactobacillus sp.
Lineage: Bacteria; Bacillati; Bacillota; Bacilli; Lactobacillales; Lactobacillaceae
Description: partial 16S ribosomal RNA
Rfam family: Bacterial small subunit ribosomal RNA
Source: RNAcentral